RNAcentral lists this ribosomal RNA (404 nucleotides) under uncultured Aquamicrobium sp. RNAcentral's name for it is "bacterial SSU rRNA". It matches the Rfam family "Bacterial small subunit ribosomal RNA", at positions 378 to 774 of the family's 1533-position model. Lineage: Bacteria; Pseudomonadati; Pseudomonadota; Alphaproteobacteria; Hyphomicrobiales; Phyllobacteriaceae. The record is from RNAcentral.
AAAGCCUGAUCCAGCCAUGCCGCGUGUGUGAAGAAGGUCUUCGGAUUGUAAAGCACUUUAAGUUGGGAGGAAGGGCUGCAAGUUAAUACCUUGUAGUUUUGACGGUAACCGUAGAAGAAGCCCCGGCUAACUUCGUGCCAGCAGCCGCGGUAAUACGAAGGGGGCUAGCGUUGUUCGGAAUUACUGGGCGUAAAGCGCACGUAGGCGGAUCGAUCAGUUAGGGGUGAAAUCCCAGGGCUCAACCCUGGAACUGCCUCUAAUACUGUCGAUCUCGAGUUCGAGAGAGGUGAGUGGAAUUCCGAGUGUAGAGGUGAAAUUCGUAGAUAUUCGGAGGAACACCAGUGGCGAAGGCGGCUCACUGGCUCGAUACUGACGCUGAGGUGCGAAAGCGUGGGGAGCAAACA